Molecule: ribosomal RNA, 207 nt
Filed under: uncultured bacterium
Lineage: Bacteria
Description: partial 16S ribosomal RNA
Rfam family: Bacterial small subunit ribosomal RNA
Source: RNAcentral
CGCGUAGGCGGUUCGGCAAGUCUCUAGUGAAAUCUCUGGGCUCAACUCAGAGUCUGCUGGGGAAACUGCCGGGCUUGAGUGUGGGAGAGGAGAGUGGAAUUCCCGGUGCAGCGGUGAAAUGCGUAGAUAUCGGGAGGAACACCUGUGGCGAAAGCGGCUCUCUGGACCACAACUGACGCUGAGGCGCGAAAGCUAGGGGAGCAAACA